Long non-coding RNA from Oxyura jamaicensis (ruddy duck), 1980 nucleotides. RefSeq lists it as uncharacterized. The transcript has 4 exons. Lineage: Eukaryota; Metazoa; Chordata; Aves; Anseriformes; Anatidae. The record is from RefSeq and is a predicted model, not a curated record.
UUUCGGUGCAGGUGGGCAUGUGCUAAUUCAAUUAUAUGCCUCUGUCACUGCCAGCAGCCUCCGGCUGCAGGGAGACGAGUCAGGAGGUACGCUGGGCCUGAGGAGGCACAGCAUUACUGCCCAUGGGGUCAGCCUGCAGUAGCUGUUCCACAUCUGUUCCUCUUGUGGAUGCUUGCUGACCCAAGGCUGAAGAUGCCUUUCUGCAAUUUAGCUCCAUUCUGUUCAGCAGUGAGUUAACUGAAGCGGACACAGACAUCUUCAGCGAGGAGUGAAAGCGUCUCCAUGCAUUUUUCACCUGUAGAUGCAGAUUUGUGGGUCCCUUUCUUCUCUGCCCAAGGAGCCAGAAAGUAUCACGAGCCAUUUUGCAUCAACCCUGUGAAAAGUGAGCUUGGGGCUUGAGUCUGGAGCACUGAAGCUAGAAGCAGGAGAGAUUUUGCACAGUAGCACGAUGGGUAUGAGUCUGGAGCCGCCGUGCACUGGAGUCCCUCAGAGAACGCGGACUCCACUGAUCUUGGUACUGACUAAUCCCACACACUGUACAGGCUGUCUCCUUCAGCAGCAAGCCACGGUCAUCAUGGCAACCACAAGCAGAGCUGCUUGUGAGCAGAAUGGCAGCGACUGGCUGCUUAAGGUAGCAGUCUGUGUAACUUCUCAAACCCCUCUUUCAUCCACAGGACUUCUUUUGUCCAUGAUACAGAAUUGCUAAUUCCUCCAGUACCAGGAAAGGCUGGUGGGGAUGCUCCACCCGAACAACCUGCAGACAGGGACCAACAGAAACUCCCUUUUGCUGAAAUACCGCUCUCACUUGAACAGGGAGUGCUGUGCCCAUGGAAGAUUGAAGGACAGACUGCAAAGCAGCAAAGGAUCCACUGUGCCAGCCCAGUCACUGACUGCCAAACCUUUGUACUGUCUUAGGGAGUUGCUCACCUGAAGGAAGUUUAUCUGCUUGUAAUGGAAAAGGGCAGUGCAUAGCCUGAAGGUAAGCCAAUACUUAGACACGAAUUUAUGGCCAGCUUGCUGCCUCCAUUCACACCGGGAUCUCCCUCAGUGAAGUACUGUCACAUGUUAUAUCAUCCUGAUAGGUACAGAAGAUUUACUAUGAACACUUGUAAUGCCUUGAGCUUAGGCAGGAAUCCAUACACGCUGUUUUUUCUUUUGUUCCCACUUGUGAGUGGCAUACAUACGCUGUGGGCGGUGGUGGAAGCCCUGUGCACAGUACGCACGACUUGUAUUUGCUGUUUAACGCAGAGCUGCUGCCUGUUUCCUGUGGCCUUCAGUGAAUAUUAAUGGGAGGGGAGUAGGACAGUAUUGCUGUAACUUUCUGAUCUUUGUAUUUCAUGCAAUUGUCUUGUUCUUACAGGUGUGCUAGAUUGAUGUUUGGCAAUAUUACCCAGUAGUAGCUGCAAGGGGGCACAUCCCUCUGAUGAGUCAUGGGACGUAGUCCACAUGAGCCAUGUCCAUUAAUAAAGCUGACACGACACCCCAUGGGUCCCUUGUUUCUACAAACUGCUAACGUGCUUAUGUCCAUUCAGGUACUGGCAUAGAAAACAUUCCCAAGCCACUGCAAAACUAUGCACUUUCUGACACUACUUCUAUAUAGCGAUCAAAAUAAACUAUUGCAGUCUUUUGUCACUCUUUGCACAGCCAGACCAGAGGAGAACUGAGCAACAGGCUCUGUUUGCUGGUAAACUGAGGAUACCACAAUGAGUGCAGGAAGAGGUAGAUCCUCAAAGAAAGGGGGGUGAAGAUCUGAAGGAACCUGCAGACCAUUCUGUCACCAGCGUAAGAAGCAUCUGCUUUCUAGGCAACUGACAGCAUCUGCCACAUGAAGAAUAUGACAGGAGCCUGUUACCACCACUGUACAGAAGCUGGUUUCUUCUAACAAUUCUUAAGAAACAAACAGACUUACUUGUCAAGAAAUUUAAGAUUUAAACCCACCUGGCAGUCCGGAAUCGCUGACAAAGUUUCUCCACCAAGCUC